ACCUGUGGCAUAGUGGUUUGAGUGUUGGACUGUGACUUUGGAGACCAGGGUUCGAUUCCCUGCUUAGCUA
Non-coding RNA from Phrynosoma platyrhinos (Desert horned lizard), 70 nucleotides. The record is from the annotation of a GenBank genome assembly. Lineage: Eukaryota; Metazoa; Chordata; Lepidosauria; Squamata; Phrynosomatidae.